This 789-nucleotide non-coding RNA is filed under the name Ephemera sp. XL-2019. Lineage: Eukaryota; Metazoa; Arthropoda; Insecta; Ephemeroptera; Ephemeridae. The record is from RNAcentral.
GAAAAGUUUUAUUCUGGCUUUUAUACUUUUUAUAAGAUUAUUUUACAUGUAAAUUUUAGUGAGAAUUGGAUGAAUCUUAAAGGUUAAUUUAUUUAAUAAGCGCAGUAUUUUAUAUUAAGUAAUCAAUGUUAAUUGGAUUUAGUAAAUUUUUUAAUUCUGGUAAAAUUUGUGCCAGCCACCGCGGUUAAACAAAAGGGGUGAAAAAGUAUUAUUAGUUGUAGUUAAUUUUUAUGGGUUAAAAGUUGGUAAAAUAAUAUUAUUGUUAGGUGAAAUUUUAAAGUAUGUUAUAAACUUAAAAGAAUAAUAUAUGAAGCUAAGAAAAUUAGAAAAUAAACUAGGAUUAGAUACCCUAUUAUUCUAAAUGUUAAUAUAAAGACUUGAGUAGUAGUAGUUAUUUUCUUAAAACUCAAAGAAUUUGGCGGUGUUUUAGUCUUAUCAGAGGAAUUUGUCCCGUAAUCGAUAACCCUCGUUUUACUUUACUUAAUUUGGUCAACAGCUUGUAUACCGCCGUCAUCAGGAUAUAUUUAGAGAUUAUAUUCAAGGUUUAUUAUUAUUAAGUAUGUCAGGUCAAGGUGCAGUUUAUGAUUAAGAGGAGAUGAAUUACAAUAUAUAUUUAUAUACGGAUUUGGAAAUGGAAUUUUCUAAUAAAGGUGGAUUUGGAUGUAAUAAAAUAAAGAUAGAUUUUAUGAUAUAAAGCUCUAAAACAUGCACACAUCGCCCGUCGCUCUCAUUUUAAGGUGAGAUAAGUCGUAACAUAGUAGGUGUACCGGAAGGUGUAUCUAGGAAGUA